RNAcentral lists this unclassified non-coding RNA (267 nucleotides) under Trichoderma spirale. Its description in RNAcentral is "partial contains 18S rRNA, ITS1, 5.8S rRNA, ITS2 and 28S rRNA". The stretch from base 1 to 44 matches the Rfam family "Eukaryotic small subunit ribosomal RNA", at positions 1788 to 1831 of the family's 1831-position model. Lineage: Eukaryota; Fungi; Ascomycota; Sordariomycetes; Hypocreales; Hypocreaceae. The record is from RNAcentral.
AUUGUAACAAGGUUUCCGUAGGUGAACCUGCGGAAGGAUCAUUACCGAGUGCGGGCCUUCGCGGCCCAACCUCCCACCCUUGUCUCUAUACACCUGUUGCUUUGGCGGGCCCACCGGGGCCACCUGGUCGCCGGGGGACGCACGUCCCCGGGCCCGCGCCCGCCGAAGCGCUCUGUGAACCCUGAUGAAGAUGGGCUGUCUGAGUAUUAUGAAAAUUGUCAAAACUUUCAACAAUGGAUCUCUUGGUUCCGGCAUCGAUGAAGAACG